RNAcentral lists this RNase P RNA (343 nucleotides) under Clostridia bacterium. RNAcentral's name for it is "RNase P RNA component class A". It matches the Rfam family "Bacterial RNase P class A". Rfam says of the family: Ribonuclease P (RNase P) is a ubiquitous endoribonuclease, found in archaea, bacteria and eukarya as well as chloroplasts and mitochondria. Its best characterised activity is the generation of mature 5'-ends of tRNAs by cleaving the 5'-leader elements of precursor-tRNAs. Cellular RNase Ps are ribonucleoproteins. Lineage: Bacteria; Bacillati; Bacillota; Clostridia. The record is from RNAcentral.
CAAGUACGCCGGACGGUCGCGGGUACACGACGAAAGGACGUACCUGAGGAAAGUCCGGGCUCCGCAGGGCAGGAUGCCGGUUAACGGCCGGUGAAGGUGACUUCAAGGAAAGUGCAACAGAAAACAACCGCCCGCGCACGCGGGUAAGGGUGAAAAGGCGAGGUAAGAGCUCACCGCCGCGGUGGUAACACAGCGGGCAGUGUAAACCCCAUCCGGAGCAACACCGCAGAAGGGACGCUAAGUUGGCCCGACAGUCCCAAGGGUGGCUAAAGGCACGCGGCAACGCGCGACCGCAGAUAGAUGACCGUCCGCGACAGAACCCGGCUUACGGCGUGCUUGCUUU